Molecule: ribosomal RNA, 255 nt
Filed under: uncultured bacterium
Lineage: Bacteria
Description: partial 16S ribosomal RNA
Rfam family: Bacterial small subunit ribosomal RNA
Source: RNAcentral
UACGGGGGGAGCAAGCGUUGUUCGGAUUUACUGGGCGUAAAGGGCGCGUAGGCGGCCACUGCAAGUCGGUUGUGAAAUCUCCGGGCUCAACCUGGAGGGGUCAUUCGAUACUGCCGUGACUAGAGGUCGGUAGGGGAGUGUGGAAUUCCUGGUGGAGCGGUGAAAUGCGCAGAUAUCAGGAGGAACACCCGUAGCGAAGGCGGCACUCUGGGCCGAUACUGACACUGAGGAGCGAAAGCGUGGGGAGCGAACAGG